RNAcentral lists this ribosomal RNA (253 nucleotides) under uncultured bacterium. Its description in RNAcentral is "partial 16S ribosomal RNA". It matches the Rfam family "Bacterial small subunit ribosomal RNA", at positions 524 to 776 of the family's 1533-position model. The record is from RNAcentral.
UCCGUAGGGUGCAAGCGUUGUCCGGAAUUAUUGGGCGUAAAGCGCUCGUAGGCGGUUUGUUGCGUCGGCUGUGAAAUCCCGAGGCUCAACCUCGGGUCUGCAGUCGAUACGAGCAAACUAGAGUGUUGCAGGGGAGACUGGAAUUCCUGGUGUAGCGGUGAAAUGCGCAGAUAUCAGGAGGAACACCGGUGGCGAAGGCGGGUCUCUGGGCAACAACUGACGCUGAGGAGCGAAAGCGUGGGGAGCGAACAGG